AUACGGAGGAUCCGAGCGUUAUCCGGACUUAUUGGGUUUAAAGGGUGCGUAGGCGGGUUUUUAAGUCAGUGGUGAAAGUUUGCAGCUCAACUGUAAAAUUGCCAUUGAAACUGAAGACCUUGAGUGUAAAUGAGGUAGGCGGAAUGUGUUGUGUAGCGGUGAAAUGCUUAGAUAUGACACAGAGCACCGAUUGCGAAGGCAGCUUACUAAGAUACAACUGACGCUGAGGCACGAAAGCGUGGGGAUCGAACAGGAUUAGAUACCCUGGUAGUCCACGCAGUAAACGAUGAUUACUAGCUGUUUGCGAUAUACAGUAAGUGGCUAAGCGAAAGCGAUAAGUAAUCCACCUGGGGAGUACGUUCGCAAGAAUGAA
Molecule: ribosomal RNA, 373 nt
Filed under: uncultured bacterium
Lineage: Bacteria
Description: bacterial SSU rRNA
Rfam family: Bacterial small subunit ribosomal RNA
Source: RNAcentral